This 2932-nucleotide ribosomal RNA is filed under the name Escherichia coli. Its description in RNAcentral is "23S ribosomal RNA". It matches the Rfam family "Bacterial large subunit ribosomal RNA". Lineage: Bacteria; Pseudomonadati; Pseudomonadota; Gammaproteobacteria; Enterobacterales; Enterobacteriaceae. The record is from RNAcentral.
GGGUUGUGAGGUUAAGCGACUAAGCGUACACGGUGGAUGCCCUGGCAGUCAGAGGCGAUGAAGGACGUGCUAAUCUGCGAUAAGCGUCGGUAAGGUGAUAUGAACCGUUAUAACCGGCGAUUUCCGAAUGGGGAAACCCAGUGUGUUUCGACACACUAUCAUUAACUGAAUCCAUAGGUUAAUGAGGCGAACCGGGGGAACUGAAACAUCUAAGUACCCCGAGGAAAAGAAAUCAACCGAGAUUCCCCCAGUAGCGGCGAGCGAACGGGGAGGAGCCCAGAGCCUGAAUCAGUGUGUGUGUUAGUGGAAGCGUCUGGAAAGGCGCGCGAUACAGGGUGACAGCCCCGUACACAAAAAUGCACAUACUGUGAGCUCGAUGAGUAGGGCGGGACACGUGGUAUCCUGUCUGAAUAUGGGGGGACCAUCCUCCAAGGCUAAAUACUCCUGACUGACCGAUAGUGAACCAGUACCGUGAGGGAAAGGCGAAAAGAACCCCGGCGAGGGGAGUGAAAAAGAACCUGAAACCGUGUACGUACAAGCAGUGGGAGCCUCUUAAUGGGGUGACUGCGUACCUUUUGUAUAAUGGGUCAGCGACUUAUAUUCUGUAGCAAGGUUAACCGAAUAGGGGAGCCGAAGGGAAACCGAGUCUUAACUGGGCGUUAAGUUGCAGGGUAUAGACCCGAAACCCGGUGAUCUAGCCAUGGGCAGGUUGAAGGUUGGGUAACACUAACUGGAGGACCGAACCGACUAAUGUUGAAAAAUUAGCGGAUGACUUGUGGCUGGGGGUGAAAGGCCAAUCAAACCGGGAGAUAGCUGGUUCUCCCCGAAAGCUAUUUAGGUAGCGCCUCGUGAAUUCAUCUCCGGGGGUAGAGCACUGUUUCGGCAAGGGGGUCAUCCCGACUUACCAACCCGAUGCAAACUGCGAAUACCGGAGAAUGUUAUCACGGGAGACACACGGCGGGUGCUAACGUCCGUCGUGAAGAGGGAAACAACCCAGACCGCCAGCUAAGGUCCCAAAGUCAUGGUUAAGUGGGAAACGAUGUGGGAAGGCCCAGACAGCCAGGAUGUUGGCUUAGAAGCAGCCAUCAUUUAAAGAAAGCGUAAUAGCUCACUGGUCGAGUCGGCCUGCGCGGAAGAUGUAACGGGGCUAAACCAUGCACCGAAGCUGCGGCAGCGACGUUUAUGCGUUGUUGGGUAGGGGAGCGUUCUGUAAGCCUGUGAAGGUGUGCUGUGAGGCAUGCUGGAGGUAUCAGAAGUGCGAAUGCUGACAUAAGUAACGAUAAAGCGGGUGAAAAGCCCGCUCGCCGGAAGACCAAGGGUUCCUGUCCAACGUUAAUCGGGGCAGGGUGAGUCGACCCCUAAGGCGAGGCCGAAAGGCGUAGUCGAUGGGAAACAGGUUAAUAUUCCUGUACUUGGUGUUACUGCGAAGGGGGGACGGAGAAGGCUAUGUUGGCCGGGCGACGGUUGUCCCGGUUUAAGCGUGUAGGCUGGUUUUCCAGGCAAAUCCGGAAAACUAAGGCUGAGGCGUGAUGACGAGGCACUACGGUGCUGAAGCAACAAAUGCCCUGCUUCCAGGAAAAGCCUCUAAGCAUCAGGUAACAUCAAAUCGUACCCCAAACCGACACAGGUGGUCAGGUAGAGAAUACCAAGGCGCUUGAGAGAACUCGGGUGAAGGAACUAGGCAAAAUGGUGCCGUAACUUCGGGAGAAGGCACGCUGAUAUGUAGGUGAAGCGACUUGCUCGUGGAGCUGAAAUCAGUCGAAGAUACCAGCUGGCUGCAACUGUUUAUUAAAAACACAGCACUGUGCAAACACGAAAGUGGACGUAUACGGUGUGACGCCUGCCCGGUGCCGGAAGGUUAAUUGAUGGGGUUAGCGGUAACGCGAAGCUCCUGAUCGAAGCCCCGGUAAACGGCGGCCGUAACUAUAACGGUCCUAAGGUAGCGAAAUUCCUUGUCGGGUAAGUUCCGACCUGCACGAAUGGCGUAAUGAUGGCCAGGCUGUCUCCACCCGAGACUCAGUGAAAUUGAACUCGCUGUGAAGAUGCAGUGUACCCGCGGCAAGACGGAAAGACCCCGUGAACCUUUACUAUAGCUUGACACUGAACAUUGAGCCUUGAUGUGUAGGAUAGGUGGGAGGCUUUGAAGUGUGGACGCCAGUCUGCAUGGAGCCGGCCUUGAAAUACCACCCUUUAAUGUUUGAUGUUCUAACGUUGGCCCCUGAUCGGGGUUGCGGACAGUGUCUGGUGGGUAGUUUGACUGGGGCGGUCUCCUCCUAAAGAGUAACGGAGGAGCACGAAGGUUGGCUAAUCCUGGUCGGACAUCAGGAGGUUAGUGCAAUGGCAUAAGCCAGCUUGACUGCGAGCGUGACGGCGCGAGCAGGUGCGAAAGCAGGUCAUAGUGAUCCGGUGGUUCUGAAUGGAAGGGCCAUCGCUCAACGGAUAAAAGGUACUCCGGGGAUAACAGGCUGAUACCGCCCAAGAGUUCAUAUCGACGGCGGUGUUUGGCACCUCGAUGUCGGCUCAUCACAUCCUGGGGCUGAAGUAGGUCCCAAGGGUAUGGCUGUUCGCCAUUUAAAGUGGUACGCGAGCUGGGUUUAGAACGUCGUGAGACAGUUCGGUCCCUAUCUGCCGUGGGCGCUGGAGAACUGAGGGGGGCUGCUCCUAGUACGAGAGGACCGGAGUGGACGCAUCACUGGUGUUCGGGUUGUCAUGCCAAUGGCACUGCCCGGUAGCUAAAUGCGGAAGAGAUAAGUGCUGAAAGCAUCUAAGCACGAAACUUGCCCCGAGAUGAGUUCUCCCUGACUCUUUAAGGGUCCUGAAGGAACGUUGAAGACGACGACGUUGAUAGGCCGGGUGUGUAAGCGCAGCGAUGCGUUGAGCUAACCGGUACUAAUGAACCGUGAGGCUUAACCUUACAACGCCGAAGGUGUUU